UUUGGAGAGUUUGAUCCUGGCUCAGGGUUAACGCUGGCGGUGUGUAUAAUACAUGCAAGUCGAGCGCCCAGCACUUUGUUUCUAAGGAACUUCUUUAGAGAUAAGGUGCUGGGAGCGGCGAACGGGUGAGGAACACGUUGGUAGCUACCCCAUACUCAGGGAUACCCCAUCGAAAGGUGGGCUAAUACCGGAUGGCCCCGCAAGGGUAAAGCUUUUGCGGUAUGGGAGGCGCCUGCGGCCUAUCAGCUUGUUGGNNUGGUCUGAGAGGACGACCAGCCACAGUGAGACUGAGACACGGCUCACACUCCUACGGGAGGCAGCAGUAAAGAAUCUUCCGCAAUGGGCGAAAGCCUGACGGAGCAACACCGCGUGAUUGAUGACGCCCUUCGGGGUGUAAAGAUCUUUUCUGGGGGAAGAAUUCUGACGGUACCCUAGGAAUAAGCACCGGCUAAACUCGUGCCAGCAGCCGCGGUAAUACGAGUGGUGCAAGCGUUACCCGGAAUUAUUGGGCGUAAAGCGUCCGCAG
Molecule: ribosomal RNA, 526 nt
Filed under: Candidatus Peregrinibacteria bacterium
Lineage: Bacteria; Candidatus Peregrinibacteriota
Description: bacterial SSU rRNA
Rfam family: Bacterial small subunit ribosomal RNA
Source: RNAcentral